RNAcentral lists this long non-coding RNA (415 nucleotides) under Lathyrus oleraceus (garden pea). RNAcentral describes it as "Pisum sativum (pea) long non-coding RNA (PSAT_LNC041041)". The record is from RNAcentral. Lineage: Eukaryota; Viridiplantae; Streptophyta; Magnoliopsida; Fabales; Fabaceae.
GACAUUGUUGGCAACAUUUUGUGCAAUGAUAUUUUCAUUCAAAUAAAUUCAUGUUAAACAUUUGUUUUUCCAUUUGUUUUUCCUUUUUGCUUUUUGCAUGAAAUUGGUGAUCACAAAAAACCUUUAAAAACAAGAAUAAAAGCAAUCUUUUCAUCUGCAUAACGAUUGUCUUGUUUGAUUUUCAAAAAGCUUUUCAUAUCAAAAUCAUUAUGCAGGUUGUUUCUUAAACCCAUUGAACAUAAUGAUCGGACGUCAUCUCCCAAUUUUGAAUCCCCUGUAUUCGAAGCGGAAGAAGAUGAUGUUGAAGGGAUUCCUGACGAGAUCUCCCGACUUCUUGAGCAAGAAAAGAAGAUCACACUCAGCUGCAUCUCGAGAAUCAGCAGAACAGCCAACUGGGGCAUUAAUCAAAAAAAAA